UAACAUUACUCUUUGUAAUAUGUACACAUAUAAUGUGCACUUUUAGUCAUUGACUGGAUGUUUUGCAUAGUUAACAUGUUACGUAUUGCCAUUUGGAUUCAACAUUUACAUUAUGCUUUCUAAAUUACACACUGAAAGGUGAGACACAUCUCUGUGUCCACAGUUUUUAUUGUUGAAAUGUGUUACCUCAUAUUUAUCCAUGGUGAAACUUUUAUUUUAAAUCGAUGACUGGUGGCUUAAAGUCUGUAUCUGUAUUAUACUGGAAAUGAACUUAAAUGUGGCUGAGUAAAACUUAGUCGAUCUAUGCAGGAAUUAACAAAAUUGCACAUGAACAGAGUGUGUUUGUCCAGUAUGUCAUCCCACGGGGGUCAACUUCCUAUUAUUGGGUAUACGGGGAUGUGCCAAAAAUAUGGGUCAUAAUUUUGCGAGAUUUUAUAUAAAAAUGACCCUCCUUUUUAAUGACAUCCUAUAUUAAAAUGCAUUUACGUUUGAUUACUAUAUAUUGAUUCGGGG
This 513-nucleotide long non-coding RNA is filed under the name Mytilus galloprovincialis (Mediterranean mussel). Lineage: Eukaryota; Metazoa; Mollusca; Bivalvia; Mytilida; Mytilidae. The record is from RNAcentral.